This 119-nucleotide ribosomal RNA is filed under the name Pteropus alecto (black flying fox). The record is from RNAcentral. Lineage: Eukaryota; Metazoa; Chordata; Mammalia; Chiroptera; Pteropodidae.
GUCUAUAGCCAUACUACUCUGAACAAUCCUGAUCUCGUCUGAUCUCGGAAGCUAAGCAGGGUCAGGCCUCGUUAGUACUUGGAUGGGAGACCACCUCGGAAGACCAAGUACUAUAGCUG